This 73-nucleotide transfer RNA is filed under the name Pseudacidovorax intermedius. RNAcentral describes it as "tRNA-Lys". It matches the Rfam family "tRNA". Rfam says of the family: Transfer RNA (tRNA) molecules are approximately 80 nucleotides in length. Their secondary structure includes four short double-helical elements and three loops (D, anti-codon, and T loops). Further hydrogen bonds mediate the characteristic L-shaped molecular structure. tRNAs have two regions of fundamental functional importance: the anti-codon, which is responsible for specific mRNA codon recognition, and the 3' end, to which the tRNAs corresponding amino acid is attached (by aminoacyl-tRNA synthetases). tRNAs cope with the degeneracy of the genetic code in two manners: having more than one tRNA (with a specific anti-codon) for a particular amino acid; and 'wobble' base-pairing, i.e. permitting non-standard base-pairing at the 3rd anti-codon position. Lineage: Bacteria; Pseudomonadati; Pseudomonadota; Betaproteobacteria; Burkholderiales; Comamonadaceae. RNAcentral also lists the same sequence under 10 other names. The record is from RNAcentral.
GGGACGUUAGCUCAGUUGGUAGAGCAGCGGACUUUUAAUCCGUUGGUCGCAGGUUCGAAUCCUGCACGUCCUA